ACUUCUUGCAGGCUCUUGCCUUACGAGGAGAGGUAGCCUAAUUGUCAAAUAAUCAAUUUACUUGCUUUUGUCAAAACAGCAUCAUUAAGCAAAUUCAAAAGAAAUGGUUGAUGAUUAAACCAGCUGUGUAAUACAGCCUAUGAUUG
Molecule: long non-coding RNA, 146 nt
Organism: Sebastes umbrosus (honeycomb rockfish)
Lineage: Eukaryota; Metazoa; Chordata; Actinopteri; Perciformes; Sebastidae
Exons: 3
Source: RefSeq, a predicted model, not a curated record